Molecule: non-coding RNA, 1416 nt
Organism: Punica granatum (pomegranate)
Lineage: Eukaryota; Viridiplantae; Streptophyta; Magnoliopsida; Myrtales; Lythraceae
Source: RefSeq, a predicted model, not a curated record
UUAGAUCACUCUCUACGAGCUAUCGAUGCUCCGUUGAAUAAGCAACAUUUCAUGACUCCUCGAUUGGACCCAUUCCCCUCGCUUCUUCCUUUUAUAGUUGUCCUCGAUUUUCGUCCCACUGACGUCGGCGAUGCCCAUGACUUCGGGAUUCCAUCUUGUGCUCCUGCGUCAUCUAGAAAAAGCUUAUUUGAGCCAGAUUGGAGGAGCAUCAGAGUUGCCCCCCAAAUGAUGAAGGAAGAUAGUGAAGGUGGCCCACGGCCAUGGGAGGUAGCUGUCGUGGUGCAGCCAAUGGUGGGGAGCUCGCUCCGAAGGCAUGGUGAUAAUCGCCGAAGAUCAGCUUCGUCUGGGGCUCACCCCCUGAGAGGGAGAGGGCACGUGGCUGCCAUGGUCGCUGAAACUGAGGAAGGAGGAGAUGCAGCAGUAUAGGGAGCUCACUAAGCUGCUACAACUGACCCGCGAACCUCACGAAACCCAAGGAGGGACCCGACGAACAUCAGUGAAGGGGGUGGACCCAAUGAACCCCGGUGAUGGGGCAGGACCCACUGGAUCCAGGGAACCUUUCGGGACCCAUAGGGAACCAGCGAACUCUUCGGGACUCGUCGAGCUUGACUUGGCUAAUUUCUCGAGCCCUAUGAGAGACCUGGUGAACCUGACCCAAUGAACCUCUCGGGAACCAUAGGGGACUCAGCGAACCUCUCAAUGUAGGCGAAGGGUCGAGAGGAAGGAGGCAGUCGAUGCAGACCGAGACAGAGAGUUUUCGGAAGGAUCUCGCAGGGAAGAGGUGGUUGGAGGCGAUUGCCAAUGGGCGUUAGAGCUCCGACUGGUGGCUGAUGGCGCUCCCGUUGUUAUUAGUUAUUCUUGCUUCUGCCUCGCUUUCUAGGUCUCUUUUAUUUUAUUUUAUUUUAUUUUAUUUUGCUUUUAACCUUAUACUAUAUUCUCUUGCUUGUGCAUUUUUCUGUGAAAUUUCUCUUUAGGUGGCUGAAAUGUUGAAAUGUGGUGGUUGCUGGUGUUACUGGGAGUUGUAGCCGGGAGGAGAAAGAGUAGACGUGCCUGGUGGAGAAUGUAGUCAGAGAACAGAAGGUCGGUAAGGGUGGAGAUCUUGGGGUGGUCGGAUAUGACGAUUUUUGGGAAUGACAAGAGUGUAGAGCCACGGCUUGUCGUGUCGUUUCCAUAGACGGCGCCAGUGAUUCAGGAAAAAAGGUCUGGCUAGGAAUCCUCUCUCCCAUCAAGAAGGAUCUUCGGGUCCUCUUCUGAAUUUGACCGCUGCCCCGUCACCAACGAGAAGGGCUCUUGGGGUUUUGCCCGAGAGCCCCCUCCAACGCCCUAGUUAGGUGUAUUUUGGAGAGUAUUCAAGAGGGAGUUUUCAUAUCAUAAUAGAGGAAGAUGUUGGAGAUUAUACAUGAACUAUUCUGAGUA